UGAAACACGGACCAAGGAGUUUAACAUGUGCGCGAGUCAUUGAGGGGCAGACUCAAAGGCGCAAUGAAAGUGAAGGUAGUUUCGGACUGCCGAUACGCGAUCCGUAUUAAUUUACGGCGCAGCGUAGCCCCAUCCCGACUGCUUGCAGUGGGGUGGCGGAAGAGCGCACAUGCUGAGACCCGAAAGAUGGUGAACUAUGCGUGAGCAGGACGAAGCCAGAGGAAACUCUGGUGGAGGUCCGAAACGGUUCUGACGUGCAAAUCGAUCGUCAGACUUGCGUAUAGGGGCGAAAGACUAAUCGAACCAUCUAGUAGCUGGUUCCCUCUGAAGUUUCCCCCAGGAUAGCUGGAGCUCGGGCCGACCAGUUGUAUCUGGUAAAGCGAAUGACUUGAGGCCUUGGGAACGAAACGAUCUCAACCUAAUCUCAAACUUUCAAUGGGUACGAAGUCCCGGUUGCUUGUCUCGAACCGCGGACAGUGAAUGAGAGCUCCAAGUGGGCCAUUUUUGGUAAGCA
RNAcentral lists this ribosomal RNA (514 nucleotides) under Kischkenema boettgeri. RNAcentral's name for it is "partial 28S ribosomal RNA". It matches the Rfam family "Eukaryotic large subunit ribosomal RNA", at positions 655 to 1146 of the family's 3401-position model. Lineage: Eukaryota; Metazoa; Nematoda; Chromadorea; Plectida; Chronogastridae. The record is from RNAcentral.